CCCGGUCGAGCAGGAAUAGUAGAGUACUGUUGUAGUUGUUUAGUUGGAGGAAGGACUGUUGGAUGUUGCGCGCAUACAAUGACUUUGGUAUGGCAGGGUUUCUGGGUGACAUUGUUAUUAGGGACGAUGUAGAAUAUACGUAAUAAGAAAA
This is a long non-coding RNA of Melitaea cinxia (Glanville fritillary), 151 nucleotides long. RefSeq lists it as uncharacterized. NCBI's taxonomy places the organism in Eukaryota, Metazoa, Arthropoda, Insecta, Lepidoptera, Nymphalidae. The transcript has 2 exons. The record is from RefSeq and is a predicted model, not a curated record.